GUAGGAAGCGUGGCGCCUCAGCCACAAUCGUAAUCACCUUUAAUCUCUUGCUCAAAAUAACCCAAAGUCAAGCUGACCCUCGGUCUAUCUUGAGGCCCUCGGCUGCCCCCGACUUGAAGAUUCUCCCCCGUUGCGUCUAAGUGGCUGCUCCAAGUUCCCGUCCCCGCUGGCAUCUCCCUGCCUCACCAUCCGCCACAUUCCUACACCAAAAGUUGACGCCGCAUUCUGGACUCCUCUCUUUCCUCCCCCCACACCUGGUCCAACUCCAGCAGCAUCUAAUCCACCUGCAGAAGCAUCUGGAAUCACUCCACUCCCACCACGACCGCCCAAACCCACCUCCAGCGGGGACGACGCCCAAGGUACCACCUGGUCUCCUGGCACCCACAAUCCAUUCUCCCUCCACAGCCAGAGGGAGCCUCGCUAACCACCAAGGCGGUCCUGCGGCCCCGCGCAGCCCUGAGGGCGUCCAGUCCUCCACGCGUGGAGGAGAAUCCGGCCUCCAGACACAAUCUCCAGGGCCCACUGGAUGGGCCUCCGCUCCUUCUCACUCCCAGUCCUCUGGUGCAUGCCCCCUUCCUGGCUGAAGAACCUGCACCAGCCGCCCCUCCGCCUGGGAAGCUCCCUCCUGUCAUUCACUCCGAGACGCAGCAGCGUUGCCCCAAGAGCCCUCCCUGCUCUGCACCCCGAAUUCACUCUCAGCCCCCACCUAGUUUAAAUCCUGGCCCUUCUCUCUCC
This 735-nucleotide long non-coding RNA is filed under the name Homo sapiens (human). RNAcentral describes it as "HSALNT0338962". Lineage: Eukaryota; Metazoa; Chordata; Mammalia; Primates; Hominidae. The record is from RNAcentral.